AUGAGAAUCUAACGCCUGAUGACCUAUCACUGUCUCCCAUCACUCCCAGAUGGGACCGUCUAGUUGCAGGAAAACAAGCUCAGGGCUCCCACUGAUUCUACAUUAUGCACACCAAAGAGAGUUCUAGAAAAAAUGAGAAUAAGAAAUUUACCUGUAAUCCUUGCUCAAGAAACUGAAGCUCUGAGGCCACAUUGUUCCAGCCUUUUGCAGCUCCUGCAUGUGGAUACCAGCACCAGCAGCUCCCCGACCAGGGGCCCCAGCUAAGCCCUCCCAGAGGAUGAUCUUGGCUUUGUACAUGGGGUGUCAAUAUCCUGUGAGUCCAACAGAGGGAAGACAUAAGAAUAUGGUCACCCAGGUAACAGACAUUUGUCUUAAUGUAUUCACUGUGUCAUCAGAAGCCACUUCUUAUCCAUCCUUGUGAAUACUUGAUGAAUGAGGAGUCAAUGAUUAAAUGAAGGAAAGAAAAGAGACUGAAAAGGAGGGCUCUGCUCAAGUCCCUGCACCAAUGCAACCUGCCAAGGGAAAGCGCUCACCAUGGUUCUGUCUUGACCUGCCAGUUUAGAUACCCAUCUAAAGUCACUGUCGCUUACAGUUGUGGCAAUUCUGAAUGUCGACAGGAGAAUGUCUCCCGGAUUUCAGCCUUUUAGAAGAUAAAAUGGUCCUAUGUGUUCAUGAACAAAACCCACCAGUUUCCCCAGGGCAGUGAGUUACCUGACAUCUGGCAGAUUCCUGGAAGGUUUCCUCUGGCCCCAUACUGGGAUCCAUUCCUGGGACAACUAGAAGUGCCAGGGAGUUAAAGCCCCAAGAGCGACCUUCAAGCCAAUAAGAGAUGGAGUUGGAAUGAAAACCUCAGCUUCCUCAUACCUCAGUGGGACAAUCCUGAGAUGUGUUCCUCAAGUCUCUCCAAGGACCUGAUGGGACUGAGUCCUGGUUGCUCAUGAGAGAAACCAGCAGGACUGGAUGUCAGUGAUUGCACCAUGCAGGAUUACAGAUUGUGCUGAGUUUAGAUUUUCUGCCUUCCUCCUCAGUUGUCAGGCUGCUAGCCAGCUCUUCUGCUCCCAUGACACCUGCAUCGAAUGCCUGCCCUUUCCUUACUACAAGACCCUUUCCAGUUCCCAGAUUAGAAUCUGCCACAGGCUAGGAAUCCCACAUCCCAGUAGUGAUUUGGCUCCAAGUGCAAAGGCACCUAGUGUCUGCCUUUUGUUCAGCAGCUUGGUGAUGGACAUAUCCAGGACUCAGAGACCCCUUUCCCUCAGCUCUCUGAGUUGGAAGCUGUCAGGUGCAGAAGGGCAACAUCUUACAUACACAGGGUUUGGGCAGGUCUGGGCAGUGCCUGGUUAAUGUUAAAUAAUGCAGAUAAAGGAAUUGUUGACAUCUGAAAGUCAAUAUGAAAAUUGUAUGCACUGCUGUGACUCAUGCAACUUCACUCCCAGCCCUGGUUCUCAUGAUUCCAGAAGUGGAAAAAAUAAGGCAACUCUUUUCCUCACAAUUCAAAAAAAUACCUAUUGAGCAACAUCAGCUUGGCCCACACAAGACAAUUUUUAUCCCUUCCGUUAGUUAACUUUGCUUUGGCCAAAGGCCAGAAAAACCUCAUUCUUUACAGGCAACCUCAGACCACCAUCCUGGAUCCACUUCAAAAACUAACUGCAGACCUGUGUCUUACUAGAGGUGAUUUGGUAGCAUUGAAGAUCAAAUCCCGAUUUAAAAAAUUAAAAAAAAAAUGAACAUAAAAUGCA
Molecule: long non-coding RNA, 1736 nt
Organism: Homo sapiens (human)
Lineage: Eukaryota; Metazoa; Chordata; Mammalia; Primates; Hominidae
Product: long intergenic non-protein coding RNA 3060
Source: Ensembl